This 374-nucleotide ribosomal RNA is filed under the name uncultured eukaryote. RNAcentral describes it as "SSU rRNA". It matches the Rfam family "Eukaryotic small subunit ribosomal RNA", at positions 587 to 972 of the family's 1831-position model. The record is from RNAcentral.
AGCUCCAAUAGCGUAUAUUAAAGUUGUUGCAGUUAAAAAGCUCGUAGUUGGAUUUCUGGCAGGAAAUUGACGUCGGCUUGAAGCUUGAUUGUCGAGUUCGUGCCAUCCUUCUGUUAACUCAUUCGGCAUUCAGUUGUCGGGUGAGAGCUCAGAUAUUUUACCUUGAGAAAAUUAGAGUGUUUCAGGCAGGCCAGCGCCGGAAUACAUUAGCAUGGAAUAAUAGAAUAGGACUCCAGCCUCUUCUGUUGGUCUGAGGGGUUAGAGUAAUGAUUAAUAGGGAUAGUUGGGGGCAUUAGUACUUAACUGUCAGAGGUGAAAUUCUCGGAUUUGUUAAAGACUAACUUAUGCGAAAGCAUUUGCCAAGGAUGUUUUCA